GGUGGUUCUCAGGUGACACCCCCUGAAAUCAGGCUCCCUCCUCUCUGGUUCCUGGUGCAUCACCCAAGAACUGCC
This is a non-coding RNA of Myotis brandtii (Brandt's bat), 75 nucleotides long. The record is from Rfam. Lineage: Eukaryota; Metazoa; Chordata; Mammalia; Chiroptera; Vespertilionidae.